Molecule: ribosomal RNA, 301 nt
Filed under: uncultured bacterium
Lineage: Bacteria
Description: partial 16S ribosomal RNA
Rfam family: Bacterial small subunit ribosomal RNA
Source: RNAcentral
CAGCCGCGGUAAUACAGAGGGUGCGAGCGUUAAUCGGAUUUACUGGGCGUAAAGCGUGCGUAGGCGGCUUCUUAAGUCGGAUGUGAAAUCCCUGAGCUUAACUUAGGAAUUGCAUUCGAUACUGGGAAGCUAGAGUAUGGGAGAGGAUGGUAGAAUUCCAGGUGUAGCUGUGAAAUGCGUAGAGAUCUGGAGGAAUACCGAUGGCGAAGGCAGCCAUCUGGCCUAAUACUGACGCUGAGGUACGAAAGCAUGGGGAGCAAACAGGAUUAGAUACCCGUGUAGUCCCUGUCUCUUAUACACA